Molecule: non-coding RNA, 438 nt
Organism: Paralichthys olivaceus (Japanese flounder)
Lineage: Eukaryota; Metazoa; Chordata; Actinopteri; Pleuronectiformes; Paralichthyidae
Source: RefSeq, a predicted model, not a curated record
UACUGCCCGUCCCCACCCUGGUGGGGGGGCAGUCAGGGACUUUUUAAUGUAUAUUAAGGGACUUCAGGAAUAUGGAGGUGACAUGAUUAGGGAGGAGACACACACACACACACACACACACUCUCUCUGAGUCUCCCUCCUCAGACGCGCAGACAGAAUUUAAAAUGUGUGCGCAUUUCCCUGACGAGCGGCGCGUGGAGCUGGACACGGAGACGAACACGCGACUCAACCGGACGCUUUAAUUAAUUAGAGACCACGAGCAGGAGACCCCGCACCGCACCGCAUCGCACCGCACCUGUUCCCGCCUUCACACACGAGGAUCCAAAAGUUCUUCCAGAGUCAGCACCAGCGAGUCCCCCGUUAUUCCUCCCCCCUCUGAUGCUGUUCACCCUCCACUGCUGGUGGUGGCGCAGAGACUGAUGCAUGCAGGGUAACUCC